GUCGCCGUAGGAUAGGACAGUCGCGGAUCAUGGUUGAUGAAAGGGUAAAGUCCUUUCAUGCCUGUGACCCGGACGGGCGAUGUAAGUCGUGGCCCGGAGAAGGGAACUGAGACAAGGUCCCUAGCCCCACGGGGUGCAGCAGUUACGAAACCUCACCAAUGCGCGAAAGCGUGAGUGGGCCAAGCCGAGUGAUGGGAGAUAAUUCCAUCUGUGGCGAAACCGUAGUAAGGUUCGCUAGAAAGGAGAGGGCAAGGCUGGUGCCAGCCGCCGCGGUAAAACCAGCUCUUCGAGUGGUGUCCAUGAUUAUUGAGCUUAAAGCGUUCGUAGCCUGUUUGGUAGGUUCCUGCUCAAAUCCGGUCGCUUAACGGUCGGACUGGUAGGAAUACCGCCUUACUUGGGGACGGGAGACGGCGACGGUAUUCCGUAGGUAAGGGUGAAAUCUAAUGAUCUACGGAGGACCACCAGUGGCGAAGGCGGUCGUCGAGAACGUGCCCGACGGUGAGGGACGAAACCCAGGGGAGCAAAUCGGAUUAGAUACCCGAGUAGUCCUGGGCGUAAACGAUGCCCGUUAAGUGUUGCAUUGGCCACGAGCCACUGCAGUGCUGUAGCGAAAGCGAUAAACGGGCCGCUUGGGAAGUACGGUCGCAAGACUGAAACUUAAAGGAAUUGGCGGGGGAGCACCACAAGGGGUGGAGCUUGCGGUUUAAUUGGACAACGCCGGAAAUCUUACCCGCCCAGACAGCCGAAUGAGAGCCAGACUGAUGAUCUUGCUCGACGAGCUGAGAGCUGGUGCAUGGCCAUCGUAAAUUCGUGCCGUGAGGUAUCAGCUUAAGUGCUGCAACGAAUGAGAUCCCUGCCACCUAGUUGCCAGCCGGGGGCUUCGGCCCUGACGGGGCACACUAGGGGGACCGCUAGCGAGAAGCUGGAGGAAGGUGGGGGCCACGGUAGGUCAGUAUGCCGCGAUAUGGGCGGGGCCACACGCGUGCUACAAUGGCUGGGACAAUGCGUCACAACACCGAAAGGUGAAGUCAAUCGCGAAACCCAGUCGUAGUUGGAAUCGGGGGUUGGAACUCACCCCCGUGAACCUGGAAUCCCUAGUAUCCGCGUGUCACUAUCGCGCGGAGAAUACGUCCCUGCUUCUUGCACACACCGCCCGUCGCUCCAUGCGAGCGGAUCUGGGGUGAGGCAUCGUCCACUGGGCGCUGACGAAUCUUGGGUUCGCAAGUAGGGAGAAGUCGUAAC
RNAcentral lists this ribosomal RNA (1242 nucleotides) under metagenome. Its description in RNAcentral is "bacterial SSU rRNA". It matches the Rfam family "Archaeal small subunit ribosomal RNA", at positions 198 to 1439 of the family's 1478-position model. The record is from RNAcentral.